This 207-nucleotide ribosomal RNA is filed under the name uncultured bacterium. RNAcentral's name for it is "partial 16S ribosomal RNA". It matches the Rfam family "Bacterial small subunit ribosomal RNA", at positions 568 to 774 of the family's 1533-position model. The record is from RNAcentral.
CGCGUAGGCGGAUUAGUCAGUUAGAGGUGAAAUCCCAGGGCUCAACCCUGGAACUGCCUUUAAUACUGCUAGUCUUGAGUUCGAGAGAGGUGAGUGGAAUUCCGAGUGUAGAGGUGAAAUUCGUAGAUAUUCGGAGGAACACCAGUGGCGAAGGCGGCUCACUGGCUCGAUACUGACGCUGAGGUGCGAAAGUGUGGGGAGCAAACA